This 1756-nucleotide long non-coding RNA is filed under the name Equus caballus (horse). RNAcentral's name for it is "lncRNA (ENSECAG00000059914.1)". The record is from RNAcentral. Lineage: Eukaryota; Metazoa; Chordata; Mammalia; Perissodactyla; Equidae.
GUAUGGAGCCAAAGAGGAUUAUUCCAAGCUUUAAGAUCUGAUGGAAUUUGCCUUGCUAAAUGUUGGACUUGCCUGGGGCCUGUUACCCCUCCCUUCUUUUCUGUUUCUCUCUUUUGGAAUGGGAAUGUCUCUGCCUGUCCCUCCAUUGUAUUUCGGAAGCACAUAACAUGUCUGGUUUCGCAGAUUCACAGCUGGAGAGGAAAUGCUUCUGGAUGAAUCAUACCUUGAGUCUCACCCAUACCUACUUUAGAUAAUAUUUAGAUGAGAUGUUGGACUUUAUACUUAGAGUUGAUGCUGGAAUGAGUUAAGACUUUGGGGGCUGUUGGUAUAGAAUGAAUGUUUUUUGCACAUGAUAAGGACAUGAAUUUGGGGGAGCUAGAGGCAGAUUGUUUUGGACUGAAUUGCAUCCCCCAAAAUUUAUGUGUUGAAGCCCUAAUUCCUCAUGUGAUUGUAUUGGAGAUGGGGCAUUUAAGGAGAUGGUUAAGGUUAAAUGAAAUCAGAAGGGUGGUACGCUGAUAUGUUAGAACUGGUGUCCUCACCUGAGAGGAAGAUAUGUCAGAGAUUGCUCUCUCCUUCUCUGUGCCAUGUGAGGACACAGUGAGAAGGUAGCCAUCUGCAAGCUAGGAAGAGAGCCAUCACCAGAAAUCGACCUUGCCAGCACCUUGAUCUUGGACUUUCCAGCCUCCAGAACUGUGAGAAAAUAGUUUGAGCCACCCAGUCUUUGGUAUUUGGUUAUGGCAGCCCACGCUGACUACGUGAUUCACUGCUCCCCCCAAAUAUUUUCGAAUGGAUAACACACAUAUAAUCUGUGGGUUCUAGAAAUUGAGGAAAUAGGAAAUCUUGACUUCUCAGUGGUUCUCAGUUGGUCCUUCACGGCACCUCCUGGAGCAUCGGGAGCAGGGUUGAAGCAGCGGGAAACUGAGAUAAACCAACGGAGCCCAACUCCAGUCACUGCUAUAACCUUGGAGGAGCAGCUCAACUUUUUUGGGUAAUUUUGCUCUGUUAUUUUAUUAAUGGGUCUGAACAAAAGGUUUUGUGAACCUGAAAAUAUUGAUGUAAACGCUUAGUGUGUUUCAGCUCUGUCUCUUUCGUUACAUCACAGGCUUCUGCCCCAAAAAGCCUGGCACAGUUACGGCUAGGUAAUUGGGUCGGUUUGCCCCUGACUGGUUUGUGUGCACACGUGCGGACUACAUCCACAGCGAUCAUUUCUCUCAACCUUUUCAAACAACUCUGUGCCAGUCUCCUCAAUGUUAGUUUCUCUCUGUGUUCUCAUUUUCUUAAAAAAUGGUGUCUUGGGCCUCCCAGAGUGAAUGUGAAUUAUAGCUCCAUUAUGUCUUUAUGGGUAGCAAGUUUUAGGUUUCUUUCCAAAGCACACAAAUGGAUUUUAAGGAGAUCUGUAAAUGGCUAUAAUUUAAGAUCAGAGAGUAUUAUCCUUGAGAUAAGAUUGGAAUUUGGCAGGAAAAAACACAACUUUUAUUUAGAAACUUGGCAUCUUGAACAUAGAAUUUUGCUGCUGCAGAAUUUCAAGUUAGACACUUAGUUGAGAUGCAAGAAGUAAAUGUUGGAAAACUGGAAGUAGCUGAGGUUUGAAAAGACUAUCUAGGGAGUGAAUAUACGCUGUAAGCGGUUGUCCCCUCAUACUUUAUCUUGUUGUGCUGAAAAAUACAUACAUACAUUUCAGGCAAAGAGAGAGAGCACUUUAUUGUUAGGAAUUGGCUCACACCAACAUGAGGACCGGCAAGUCUGAAAGCUGUGG